GAUGAACGCUGGCGGCGUGCCUAACACAUGCAAGUCGAACGGAGUCCAGCCUUUAAGACCUUCGGGUCAAAGAGGGGAAGACUGAGUGGCGGACGGGUGAGUAACACGUGGGCAACCUGGCUCAUAGAGGGGGAUAACAGAGAGAAAUUUCUGCUAAUACCGCAUAAGCACACACUGCCGCAUGGCAGAGGGUGAAAAGAGAAUCGCUAUGAGAUGGACCCGCGUCUGAUUAGCCAGUUGGCAGGGUAAGAGCCUACCAAAGCGACGAUCAGUAGCCGAUCUGAGAGGAUGAACGGCCACACUGGAACUGAGACACGGUCCAGACUCCUAAGGGAGGCAGCAGUAGGGAAUCUUCCGCAAUGGGCGAAAGCCUGACGGAGCAACGCCGCGUGAGUGAUGAAGGUCUUCGGAUCGUAAAACUCUGUUAUUAGGGAAGAACAUAUGUGUAAGUAACUGUGCACAUCUUGACGGUACCUAAUCAGAAAGCCACGGCUAACUACGUG
RNAcentral lists this ribosomal RNA (503 nucleotides) under uncultured bacterium. Its description in RNAcentral is "partial 16S ribosomal RNA". It matches the Rfam family "Bacterial small subunit ribosomal RNA", at positions 28 to 507 of the family's 1533-position model. The record is from RNAcentral.